This 459-nucleotide ribosomal RNA is filed under the name uncultured bacterium. RNAcentral describes it as "partial 16S ribosomal RNA". It matches the Rfam family "Bacterial small subunit ribosomal RNA", at positions 338 to 795 of the family's 1533-position model. The record is from RNAcentral.
CCUACGGGAGGCAGCAGUGAGGAAUAUUGGUCAAUGGGCGCAAGCCUGAACCAGCCAAGUCGCGUGAGGGAUGACGGUCCUGUGGGUUGUAAACCUCUUUUGUCGGGGAGCAGAAGACGCCACGCGUGCCGUUCCGAGAGUACCCCAAGAAAAAGCAUCGGCUAACUCCGUGCCAGCCGCCGCGGUAAUAGGGAGGCUGCGAGCGUUAUCCGGAUUUAUUGGGUUUAAAGGGUGCGCAGGCGGAAAAUCAAGUCAGCGGUAAAAUUGAGGGGGUCAACCUCGUCGUGCCGUUGAAACUGGUUUCCUUGAGUGAGUGAGAAGUAGGCGGAAUGCGUGGUGUAGCGGUGAAAUGCAUAGAUAUCACGCAGAACUCCGAUUGCGAAGGCAGCAUACCGGCGCUCAACUGACGCUGAGGCACGAAAGUGUGGGUAUCGAACAGGAUUAGAUACCCUAGUAGUC